UGAGCAACCUGCCCUUGACUCUGGAAUAACAGCUGGAAACAGCUGCUAAUACCGGAUACGACCUCCGAUGGCAUCAUCUGGAGGUGGAAAGCUCCGACGGUCAAGGAUCGGCUCGCGGCCUAUCAGCUUGUUGGUGAGGUAACGGCUCACCAAGGCUUCGACGGGUAGCCGGCCUGAGAGGGCGACCGGCCACACUGGGACUGAGAUACGGCCCAGACCUCUACGGGA
RNAcentral lists this ribosomal RNA (228 nucleotides) under uncultured bacterium. RNAcentral's name for it is "partial 16S ribosomal RNA". It matches the Rfam family "Bacterial small subunit ribosomal RNA", at positions 118 to 346 of the family's 1533-position model. The record is from RNAcentral.